UACGUAGGGGGCAAGCGUUGUCCGGAAUUAUUGGGCGUAAAGCGCGCGCAGGCGGUAGAUUAAGUUGUGGGUAAAAGGCAUUGGCUCAACCAAUGUAAGCCUGCAAAACUGGUUUACUUGGGUGCAGGAGAGGGGAGUGGAAUUCCCGGUGUAGCGGUGGAAUGCGUAGAGAUCGGGAGGAACACCAGUGGCGAAGGCGACUCUCUGGCCUGUAACUGACGCUGAGGCGCGAAAGCGUGGGUAGCGAACAGG
This 252-nucleotide ribosomal RNA is filed under the name uncultured bacterium. RNAcentral describes it as "partial 16S ribosomal RNA". It matches the Rfam family "Bacterial small subunit ribosomal RNA", at positions 524 to 776 of the family's 1533-position model. The record is from RNAcentral.